GCUACUCACUCAGGUAGCACAUAUAAAAAAAUCUGGAAUGAUACAGAGAAGAUUAACAUGGCCACUGCGUAAGGAUCACAUGCAAAUUCAUGAAUUGUUCCAUAUAUUU
Molecule: small nuclear RNA, 109 nt
Organism: Camelus dromedarius (Arabian camel)
Lineage: Eukaryota; Metazoa; Chordata; Mammalia; Artiodactyla; Camelidae
Source: Ensembl